Chloebia gouldiae (Gouldian finch) is the source of this 2194-nucleotide long non-coding RNA. The record is from Ensembl. Lineage: Eukaryota; Metazoa; Chordata; Aves; Passeriformes; Passeridae.
AGGAGGAGCUGUGUGUGCAAUCUGAGCAGGGAUGGAUUUAUUUCGUGCAUCAGAUACAUCUGCAGCGCUCACUUGUUACUCCACAGCCAAAGCUGUGUUUAAAUCAGGCCUUUUAAAGCCUAAAACCUGCUACAAAAUUUCCCCCCUCCAAACAAUCUAGUUAAUUAACCAGCUAACUCAGCUCUGGCUGGCUCUCCCUGCAAAUACCCCAUCCUCAACAAGAUUUUUCCUUAGAUUUGGAUGAAAUGCAAUGAUUGAGUCAUGACUUUUUUCCCUGGCUCAGUUGCUGGAGCAGGGAAUGUUGUUCACAAUACUGGCUGUUGCCAUAUGCUUUUUUCAUCAAGUUAAAGGGUGCAACUUUCUUUUUUGCUUCCCCCUCCACUGACUCACUCCCCAAAUAUGUUUCUGGUUAGGAUGCAUUGUGACUUCUUCCUGACAUAAGGUUUUCUAGUUUGCAGGCAGCUUGGGGAAUCGCCUCUGUGAGUUCUAAAACAUCCCAGCUCCCGGGAGAAGUGUCCUGGAGAGAAGGAGCAGCAGGAUGCUUACCUGGGUGCUUGCAGUCUUUGGGAGCUCUCCUGCCACAGAAAAGGUUUUCCAGAAGCCUGGAAGUCCCACUUGGAGUGAGAUGCUGCCUGUGAAGGAUCUUGGAGGGACAGCCAGACUUGUCCCUCCUGGAAUUCCUUUAAGGCCACCUUGUGCUGAUCCCCAGACCUUCCCCACUGAUGCCAAAUUCCCUUGGAAAAGGAUGUUUCCUAUCCUGCUGCCAUGGGCUUUGGCUUCUCCUCCCACCCUCCCAGGGCCGCGUCUCUCGGCGCAUUCCUCCGCGUCGGAACCUCCGCCUUGCUAUCUAAGGAGCUGAAGGAUAUUUCCAACCCAGCCCUGCCAGAAAAUCCUGGCAGCCACCUCCAUCUCCCGUCCUCCUGCACACACAUCCAGCUCCUCGAGCGCUCUGAUUCCCUGCCGUGUUCAAACGACCGUCACUGACAGGCAGCUCUCCAUCCAGCAGGUUAUUUUCUUUCCUGGCUGGAGGGGUUUUUUUCCCCUUUUCCAAGCCCCAGCUGGUUCCUGCAGUUUCUUCUCCUAGUGGCUGGUUGGACUCUUCCUGCUGAGUGUCCAUGCUGAGAUUUACCUGCAAGUGGGACUGGAGCAAGGCUGUGCCUGGCAUUAACUUCAACCCAGCUUUGCAGAGAAUGGCAGAAUCCCAGAAUGGUUUAGAAGGGACCUUAAAGAUCACCUGGUUCCAACGCUGCUGCCAUGGACAGGGCUGCCACAUGAAGCUGGAAUGAAGCUGCUGCAGCUCCAGCAUCCUCCAGUUCAAACAAUGAGCUGUCAAAAGGCUUUUCUGGCAUCGAGUGGGCACAGCGACCACCCAGGAUUCUUUUUUCUGGCUUUUAAAACCCUCUGAUGGUGGGGUGACUCCUUCAUUCCCUCACAUCUGAACAGCCUCCCCAAAGAGCCACUCUGAGUGUUUCUCCAGGUGAUCUGUCCAUUGCUUUUUGCCCAUCCUUUGUGGAAAAGCAAAACAAGGCAUUUCCUCCCUCUUCCAUCCCUCCCUCCCUAGACAAACCCUCUUUUAUCUACCUGAAGAUGUUAUCAUCAUUCUUUCUUUCUCCGGGGUAAACAGCCUGAAUUCUUUGAACCUUUCCUCACUGGUCACUCUCCUGCCCCACCAGGAUCUGCUGAGGAACUGGGGGUGCUCAGCAGGGCUCUCCAUGAGCCCCCCUGGCCCUUAUUUUGCAGGGAACGUGGGGCUGCACCAGGAGCACCACAGGACCCUUGGCUGCAGAUACCAUGUGUCUUCCAGGAGCUCACAAAUCACCCCCAUUUCACGGGAUUUGGGGGAUUCCCAACACGAUUGCCCAUCCCCAGCCAGCUGAAAGCUCACCUCCCUUUCCUCGGGGAGCUGCUGAUGGCUUCAGAGCGCUCAGACGAAGUUCAUCCCACCCAGCUGAUUCAAUAACAUCGACCUGAUUAAGCCACUUUGCCCUGCUCUGUCUCUAUUUUUCCAGCACUAACUGCAUUACCAUCCCUCUCUUUCCGGUGAAGGCUGGAGCUGGAAAAGCACGAAGCCAUGCAGCUGUCUGGGCAUCAUCCAUCUCCCCCUUCCCCCAGAACAACAGGUUCCUGAACCUGCUGCAGCUUCUCAGGGCAUCUCAGGUGUCAGAGGGGCAAAUAAACGGUGUCAACCCCUUCA